Molecule: ribosomal RNA, 492 nt
Filed under: uncultured bacterium
Lineage: Bacteria
Description: partial 16S ribosomal RNA
Rfam family: Bacterial small subunit ribosomal RNA
Source: RNAcentral
AUUGAACGCUGGCGGCAUGCUUUACACAUGCAAGUCGAACGGUAACAGGCCUUCGGGUGCUGACGAGUGGCGAACGGGUGAGUAAUGCAUCGGAACGUGCCCAGAGGUGGGGGAUAACGCAGCGAAAGCUGUGCUCAUACCGCAUGUGAUCUGAGGAUGAAAGCGGGGGACCAGGCAGCAAUGUUUGGCCUCGCGCCUUUGGAGCGGCCGAUGUCAGAUUAGGUAGUUGGUGGGGUAAAGGCCUACCAAGCCGACGAUCUGUAGCUGGUCUGAGAGGACGACCAGCCACACUGGGACUGAGACACGGCCCAGACUCCUACGGGAGGCAGCAGUGGGGAAUUUUGGACAAUGGGCGCAAGCCUGAUCCAGCAAUGCCGCGUGCGGGAAGAAGGCCUUCGGGUUGUAAACCGCUUUUGUACGGAACGAAAAGGCUCUGGCUAAUACCUUGGGCUGAUGACGGUACCGUAAGAAUAAGCACCGGCUAACUACGUG